Long non-coding RNA from Lycium ferocissimum, 284 nucleotides. RefSeq lists it as uncharacterized. The transcript has 4 exons. Lineage: Eukaryota; Viridiplantae; Streptophyta; Magnoliopsida; Solanales; Solanaceae. The record is from RefSeq and is a predicted model, not a curated record.
GGUGACUCCAUAUAUCGUUUUAACGCAUAUAAACUUGAAUAGAAACAAGAUUCUGUAAAACGUACAACUAUCCCCCUCAGUCACUACACAGGGAAGGUUCUGCUAAUUGUUAAUAUUCCUCAGCAAGGUUCUAAAUGGUCAGAAUCGGAGAUCAAUUAUCUCAAUGAGCUACGUCAAACGUACUACACGAAAGGAUUUGAAGUUUUAGGAUUUUUGUAUGACAAGAAUGAACUCGAUGGAAAACAAGAACAUGGAGGAUCUCAUACAUCUGUUUUUACAAGAGU